RNAcentral lists this ribosomal RNA (442 nucleotides) under uncultured soil bacterium. RNAcentral's name for it is "bacterial SSU rRNA". It matches the Rfam family "Bacterial small subunit ribosomal RNA", at positions 26 to 518 of the family's 1533-position model. The record is from RNAcentral.
AGAACGAACGCUGGCGGCAUGCCUAAUACAUGCAAGUCGAACGAGAUCUUCGGGUCUAGUGGCGCACGGGUGCGUAACGCGUGGGAAUCUACCCUUGGGUUCGGAAUAACAGUUGGAAACGACUGCUAAUACCGGAUGAUGACGAAAGUCCAAAGAUUUAUCGCCCAGGGAUGAGCCCGCGUAGGAUUAGCUAGUUGGUGAGGUAAAGGCUCACCAAGGCUACGAUCCUUAGCUGGUCUGAGAGGAUGAUCAGCCACACUGGGACUGAGACACGGCCCAGACUCCUACGGGAGGCAGCAGUAGGGAAUAUUGGACAAUGGGGGCAAACCUGAUCCAGCAAUGCCGCGUGAGUGAUGAAGCUUAGGUGUAAAGCUCUUUACCGAGAUGAUAAUGACAGUAUCGGAGAAUAAGCGUCCGGACUAACUCCGUGCCAGCAGCCGAC